RNAcentral lists this unclassified non-coding RNA (421 nucleotides) under Hevea brasiliensis (rubber tree). The record is from RNAcentral. Lineage: Eukaryota; Viridiplantae; Streptophyta; Magnoliopsida; Malpighiales; Euphorbiaceae.
ACAAGAAGCUGGAAAAUCUGAACCUGAUGCCCCUGAGGUAAUAUUCAGUGAGGUGGAAGAUGAGAAGCCCAAGGAAGUAGACUUGCUUCCAGCAUUAGAAAGGCAAAAGCGAAUUGCACAGUUGCAAGCCAAACUAUUCCAAGCAGCUGCAGAAGGAGCAGUGAGGAUCAAAAGGAGAAGAGGUCCGCAUAGAGGUGAGGAUUUCACCUUGAUGCAGGCACUGAUUAAGGCAGAUUUCUGGCUUAUUUUUGUCUCACUUUUGUUGGGUUCUGGAUCUGGGCUGACUGUGAUUGAUAACCUGGGUCAAAUGAGCCAGUCUCUAGGGUAUGAUAACACACACAUAUUUGUGUCCAUGAUCAGCAUCUGGAACUUUCUUGGCCGUAUUGGCGGGGGUUAUUUUUCUGAGGUUAUUGUGAGGGAC